Molecule: ribosomal RNA, 426 nt
Filed under: Triticum aestivum (bread wheat)
Lineage: Eukaryota; Viridiplantae; Streptophyta; Magnoliopsida; Poales; Poaceae
Description: partial small subunit ribosomal RNA
Source: RNAcentral
AUGUUGGCCGCCACCACCGCCGGCCGCCGCGCCAUCGCGCCGCAUCAGGAGAAGCGGCGUCGGAGCCGAAGGCCGCCGCCGUGCCAAGGUGUGGCGGAGAGAACUGCGCUCCGCAUGCGCGUUGGCCGUCUCUGUUGCCGGGCUGCGUGGCGGGCCGUGGUGCUCCUCCGGAGGGAGGAGCGUUGCUGCCGGGAUGUGGUCGUCGCCGCUGUAGACGGCCGUGCCGAUGGAGGCCGCGGGUGCAGCCUCAACCAUCCGCAUCCAGGGGGAAAAGGGAGGAGGAGAGUGGACGAGCGGCCGCCGCUUAGACCUUCCUCCGUCCGGAAUCCGCGGCCGAUCUCAUUUAAGAGGCAAGAACAUCACAAAUUGAAGAAAUCACAUGGAUGCUUACAGUUAUUGAGUGUGUUCGAGGCUUCCAAUUGUUGA